CUGACGGCUCAGAUGAACCAAGUUCCUCAGGAUCUGGAAAGAAAAGUUCAGAAGAUAGAAGUUGUUCAGAACCUGAGAACAUUAGUUCAGAAGUUCUGAAAACUUCAAAAUCUGAGACUUCAAAUUCUGGAACCAAAGGAACUUCAGUACCUGAGGCUAGUCAAUCUAAAGACUCAGAAGUUUUUAAAAGAAAAAAUUCAAAAUCCAAACCUCAGAUGCAAUAUAGGACUAAGAUUAUUUAUGAUUCUAGAGUCAGUAGAUAUAAUCAAUCAGAACAAAGGAUUGAUGAUAAAUACAAACCCUGGAAUCAUAAACAAUCCAAAUCCUGGAAU
This 332-nucleotide long non-coding RNA is filed under the name Trifolium pratense (red clover). RNAcentral's name for it is "long non-coding RNA (TPRA_LNC006759)". The record is from RNAcentral. Lineage: Eukaryota; Viridiplantae; Streptophyta; Magnoliopsida; Fabales; Fabaceae.